ACAUGUAAGCUACUGUUUGAAGAUGAGCUCGCGGACAUUAGCUUGUUGGUGGGGUAAAGGCCUACCAANGGCACGAUGGUUAGCUGGUCUGAGAGGAUGAUCAGUCACACUGGAACUGACACACGGUCCAGACUCCUACGGGAGGCAGCAGUGAGGAAUUUUGCGCAAUGGGGGAAACCCUGACGCAGNCACGCCGCGUGAGUGAUGAAGGCCUUCGGGUCGNUAAGCUCUGUCGAGUGGGAAGAACCUGCAUUGGAGAUAAUAUUCCGAUGCAUUGACGGUACCACUGGAGGAAGCACCGGCUAACUCCGUGCCAGCAGCCGCGGUAAUACGGAGGGUGCAAGCGUUAUUCGGAAUCAUUGGGCGUAAAGGGCACGUAGGCGGUUUGCUGGGUCGGAUGUGAAAUCCCGGGGCUUAACCCCGGAAGUGCAUUCGAAACUGGCAGAACUUGAGUAUGGGAGAGGGAAGCGGAAUUCCUGGUGUAGAGGUGAAAUUCGUAGAUAUCAGGAGGAACACCGGUGGCGAAGGCGGCUUCCUGGACCAAUACUGACGCUGAGGUGCGAAGGCCGUGGGAGCAAACAGGAUUAGAUACCCUGGUAGUCCACGCAAGUAACGGUGAACACUAGGUGUAGCGGGUAUU
RNAcentral lists this ribosomal RNA (640 nucleotides) under uncultured organism. RNAcentral's name for it is "bacterial SSU rRNA". It matches the Rfam family "Bacterial small subunit ribosomal RNA", at positions 202 to 833 of the family's 1533-position model. The record is from RNAcentral.